Molecule: ribosomal RNA, 497 nt
Filed under: uncultured bacterium
Lineage: Bacteria
Description: partial 16S ribosomal RNA
Rfam family: Bacterial small subunit ribosomal RNA
Source: RNAcentral
GAUGAACGCUGGCGGCGUGCCUAAUACAUGCAAGUCGAGCGAACGGACGAGGAGCUUGCUCCUCUGACGUUAGCGGCGGACGGGUGAGUAACACGUGGAUAACCUACCUAUAAGACUGGGAUAACUUCGGGAAACCGGAGCUAAUACCGGAUAAUAUAUUGAACCGCAUGGUUCAAUAGUGAAAGACGGUUUUGCUGUCACUUAUAGAUGGAUCCGCGCCGCAUUAGCUAGUUGGUAAGGUAACGGCUUACCAAGGCAACGAUGCGUAGCCGACCUGAGAGAGGGAGCGGCCACACUGGAACUGAACACCGGUCAGGACCCCAACGGGGGGAGGCGGGGGGAAUUCUCCCGCAAUGGGGAAAAGCCUGACGGAGCAACCCGGCGUGAGUGAUGAGGUUUUUGGGCUGGUAAGACUCUGUUAUUAGGGAGAAACAAAUGUGUAAGUAACUAGGCACGUCUUGACGGUACCUAAUCAGAAAGCCACGGCUAACUACGUG